GACGAACGCUGGCGGCGUGCUUAACACAUGCAAGUCGAACGCUGAAGCUCAGCUUGCUGGGUGGAUGAGUGGCGAACGGGUGAGUAACACGUGAGUAACCUGCCCUCUUCUUUGGGAUAACGCCCGAAAACGGGUGCUAAUACUGGAUAUUCACUGAUUCUCGCAUGGGGGUUGGUGGAAAGGUUUUUUCUGGUGGGGGAUGGGCUCGCGUCCUAUCAGCUUGUUGGUGGGGUGAUGGCCUCACAGGGCUUUAACGGGAAGCCGGCCGGCGAGGCUGACCGGUCACAUUGGGACUGAGAUACGGCCCAGACUCCUACGGGAGGCAGCAGUGGUGAAUAUUGCACAAUGGGCGAAAGCCUGAUGCAGCGACGCCGCGUGAGGGAUGGAGGCCUUCGGGUUGUAAACCUCUUUCGCUCAUGGUCAAGCCGCAGCUUUGGGUUGUGGUGAGGGUAGUGGGUAAAGAAGCGCCGGCUAACUACGUG
RNAcentral lists this ribosomal RNA (482 nucleotides) under uncultured bacterium. RNAcentral describes it as "partial 16S ribosomal RNA". It matches the Rfam family "Bacterial small subunit ribosomal RNA", at positions 28 to 507 of the family's 1533-position model. The record is from RNAcentral.